AAUACAGUGCCUGAUUUAAAAGGAUAGCUUUGAUAGAGCUAAUCAUGUAUUGCUUAUACCUGUAUUA
RNAcentral lists this transfer RNA (67 nucleotides) under Myomenippe fornasinii. Its description in RNAcentral is "tRNA-Ile". The record is from RNAcentral. Lineage: Eukaryota; Metazoa; Arthropoda; Malacostraca; Decapoda; Menippidae.